GGCGUGCCUAAUACAUGCAAGUCCGAGCGAAGUUUUUCUGGUGCUUGCACUAGAAAAACUUAGCGGCGAACGGGUGAGUAACACGUAAAGAACCUGCCUCAUAGACUGGGACAACUAUUGGAAACGAUAGCUAAUACCGGAUAACAGCAUUAACUGCAUGGUUGAUGUUUGAAAGUUGGUUUUGCUAACACUAUGAGAUGGCUUUGCGGUGCAUUAGCUAGUUGGUGGGGUAAAGGCCUACCAAGGCGACGAUGCAUAGCCGACUGAGAGGGUGAUCGGCCACACUGGGACUGAGACACGGCCCAGACUCCUACGGGAGGCAGCAGUAGGGAAUCUUCCGCAAUGGGCGAAAGCCUGACGGCUCAACGCCGCGUGAGUGAAGAAGGAUUUCGGUUCG
This 397-nucleotide ribosomal RNA is filed under the name Gemella morbillorum. RNAcentral's name for it is "bacterial SSU rRNA". It matches the Rfam family "Bacterial small subunit ribosomal RNA", at positions 41 to 425 of the family's 1533-position model. Lineage: Bacteria; Bacillati; Bacillota; Bacilli; Caryophanales; Gemellaceae. The record is from RNAcentral.